GAUGAACGCUGGCGGCGUGCCUAACACAUGCAAGUCGAGCGAAGCGCUGUUUUCAGAAUCUUCGGAGGAAGAGGACAGUGACUGAGCGGCGGACGGGUGAGUAACGCGUGGGCAACCUGCCUCAUACAGGGGGAUAACAGUUAGAAAUGACUGCUAAUACCGCAUAAGCGCACAGGACCGCAUGGUGUAGUGUGAAAAACUCCGGUGGUAUGAGAUGGACCCGCGUCUGAUUAGGUAGUUGGUGGGGUAAAGGCCUACCAAGCCGACGAUCAGUAGCCGACCUGAGAGGGUGACCGGCCACAUUGGGACUGAGACACGGCCCAAACUCCUACGGGAGGCAGCAGUGGGGAAUAUUGCACAAUGGGGGAAACCCUGAUGCAGCGACGCCGCGUGAAGGAAGAAGUAUUUCGGUAUGUAAACUUCUAUCAGCAGGGAAGAAGAUGACGGUACCUGAGUAAGAAGCACCGGCUAAAUACGUGCCAGCAGCCGCGGUAAUACGUAUGGUGCAAGCGUUAUCCGGAUUUACUGGGUGUAAAGGGAGCGUAGACGGAUAGGCAAGUCUGGAGUGAAAACCCAGGGCUCAACUCUGGGACUGCUUUGGAAACUGCAGAUCUGGAGUGCCGGAGAGGUAAGCGGAAUUCCUAGUGUAGCGGUGAAAUGCGUAGAUAUUAGGAGGAACACCAGUGGCGA
RNAcentral lists this ribosomal RNA (690 nucleotides) under uncultured Lachnospiraceae bacterium. RNAcentral's name for it is "bacterial SSU rRNA". It matches the Rfam family "Bacterial small subunit ribosomal RNA", at positions 28 to 718 of the family's 1533-position model. Lineage: Bacteria; Bacillati; Bacillota; Clostridia; Lachnospirales; Lachnospiraceae. The record is from RNAcentral.